UCUCUUCCAGUCUUCCCUCUCUUUAUCUCCACCGACAGACAUGCCACUACUCCGCCGCGUCGCCGUCUCCGCCUCCGCGCCACGCGCCGUCGCAGCGAAUGCUCCUCAGCUACCGAAGCAUGGCGACGGCUGCUUCGCUUCACCGCGGGGCCUCGUUGAGCCGACGCAGCCGUCGCUUUCGCCGAGGAGCGCGAUCCGAGUCGACCACCCACGACGAUUGCGGGUUUAGGGGUUUGCCCCCACUGUUGUGCUGUUCGUGGUGACUCGCAGCUUCUCUGAAUUGCGACGUGGCUGCUCUCCUCGUCGGUUAGCUAGUUUUGGCCUGUUUUGAUCUAUUGCGCCCUCACCCUAUGGUUCCGGUAUUUCUCGUCGUAAGGUUCAAUCCGGCCUAGAUUGAAAAUGUUGCUGCCCGUUUUGUUGGCUUCAGAUGUGUUAGGCUGUUGUAUUGGACAAGAAUUGUAACUGUUGUGUGGUACGGUUUGAUAGUACGGGAUGUCUUGCAGUGCGUAUUAUUUGAAACUCUGCAUAUUUUGAUGCUUUAGAUUGUAAACUGUAAACCAUGUGUUAACCUGCAACUAUGAACCUGAACUGAAGAUAGAUGGAGUCCGAUUGACAAAUUGGUUAGGAUGAUUUGAGUGCAGAUAUGUAGUAAUGUGCUUGUGCAAGCACCAUAUGUAUUUCUCCUAAGUGCCCUGGGAAAUGCCUUUUAGUAGGCUUUAAAAUGCUUGCUUCGGCUGGAACUUUUUGCUCAAUGUUUUUAUGUUUUAUAUUUUAGUAAUGCAUUUCUAAAGUAGUCCUAGCAAUCAAAUGUAUAUAGCUACGUAACUUAUUAUUUGUACAUAUUUGUUUUCCAAAGGAGAUAUCUUCUUUAGUGCAUUGUGGAAAUA
Setaria italica (foxtail millet) is the source of this 887-nucleotide long non-coding RNA. RefSeq lists it as uncharacterized. NCBI's taxonomy places the organism in Eukaryota, Viridiplantae, Streptophyta, Magnoliopsida, Poales, Poaceae. The transcript has 2 exons. The record is from RefSeq and is a predicted model, not a curated record.